This 66-nucleotide transfer RNA is filed under the name Plexippus paykullii. RNAcentral's name for it is "Plexippus paykulli tRNA-Ala". The record is from RNAcentral. Lineage: Eukaryota; Metazoa; Arthropoda; Arachnida; Araneae; Salticidae.
GUUGGGGUGAUGAGGUAGUUUUUGACUGAUUUGCAAUUAGUUUAGAUGGUAUUACCAUACUAUUUA